This 200-nucleotide unclassified non-coding RNA is filed under the name uncultured Basidiomycota. RNAcentral's name for it is "sequence contains ITS2". The record is from RNAcentral. Lineage: Eukaryota; Fungi; Basidiomycota.
CUCACUCUCGGUGGACACAUUUUUCCCGCCGGAUGAAUGAAGGUUGCUGAUGCCUCAGCUCCUUUGAAAUGCAUGAGCAGUAAAACGAGCUUUGUCAGCUUCGGUUUGAUAUGUUUCUGGACCGUUGCUGAUGUCGUCCCUGCUGCUGCUUGUCUCUCCACCAGAGACUGUCUGCAUUAUGCGGGCAACACAGUUUUCAA